Molecule: long non-coding RNA, 2094 nt
Organism: Pongo pygmaeus (Bornean orangutan)
Lineage: Eukaryota; Metazoa; Chordata; Mammalia; Primates; Hominidae
Exons: 3
Source: RefSeq, a predicted model, not a curated record
CAGGGACAGGUACUCCACCCAGCUCUUCUUGUCCUCGUAGUUCUUGGACUCAUCCACGAUCUUCUGAAACAUCGCUCUCUUCCUGAACCCAGGGAACAAGGGAGGUGCAGUGCUCACCCACCCAGUGCUCACCCACCCAGUGCUCACUCGCUGCAUCAGAACCCUGCUCCGCAGGAUACGGCCCUGCAGUCCUGCGGACGCUGCGUCCCCAGUGCCCACAGCAGAAACCGAGAGUUGUUGGUGCCACGGUGAUCGAUGUCGUGGCACAGGCCGGCUGUCACCAUGGCGAAGGCCUCCAGGUCCGUGUAGUAGCUCUUUAGUUUGCCGGUCUGUAGAGACAGGGCCACCUUGCUCACCGGUCCUGGCUCCAGCAGGGUGGGGAGUGGUGAGGGGUUGGGAUGACCGAGGAGUCGGGUUGGAGGUUGGACCUCCAACCACUGCAGGGCUGGGGUGCGGGGUGCACGGUGUUAGAGGGCGUUGCCCUUCUCCAUCCUUCUGCCCUGGGAGGACCCCCAUCUCAUCCCUCGGGGUGCAUGAGCGCUGCCCUUGGUACCAGGAGGGCCUGCACAACCCCGGCCAUUCUGGCAGCCACGCACCGUGAGCAGUGUGAACAUCGUCUGGGCCACAUUGAAGCCGUGACGCCAGUUGUGGUAGGUGAUUCUCCGGUACCCUUUGCUGAUGGAGAACAGGAACCGCACCAGGACCUAGGGGAGCCGAGAGGACACAGGGCUCCGGCAGCAAGUGUGUAAGUCCCGCCAGAGCGGCACAUGUGGCUGACUUCACGGUGGAAGCCCUGCUCCGUACCAUCAUCCCCACACCCUGUCUCCCGGACUCCCCGACCUUCCCCGUCCCUGCGUUUCCCGCUGGCCUCCGCUGGCCUUCCUGGGUAGGGGCUGCCACAUUGGCACCUAUGGGGUGGAGCCAGGCAGGGCAGGAGCUGAGAACAGCCCCAGCCUUCAGGGGCCGCCCAGCCUCCAUCCGACUGCCUGGCCUCAAGCUGGGAGGAGGACCCCUGGGGAUGCAGCAUAUUUUAAGAUGUCGGUUUUAGGCAUGGACAUUUGAAUGAGCAGAAUGUGUGGGCUGCAGGCUGGGGUGGGAGAGCUGAUGUCUGCAGGGCAAGAGAAUGCUGGUCACCAGGAGGCUCUUCCUGCAGUCAUUGUGAUUUUUAGGGUCAGAAAAUUAUUUGGAAAUAUUUUUUAUUCUGCAAAUAUUUUCUAUACAUUUUUUCUUGAGUGUUUUCCCUUAGUAUUUAGUAAAACUUCUUUUGAAAAUGCUGGCCUGCUGCACCUGUUCUCAGAGGGGCAUGAGAAAAGAGGAUUCUCUUCUUUGGGCUGUGGGAAGCCCCCUGAGAUGUUGGAAGCAGGGCAGGGCAGGAGAACCCAGGGAGGGCACAGAACUGUGGAUGAGAGCUGGGAAAGCCAUCCCGCCUCCCCAGGGGGUCUCCGAGGAGCGCUGCUGUGGCCAAACCUGGAGGGCCACUUUGUGCUUUCUGUUUAGGUGAUGGGAUGCUUCUAUCUCCUCAGCACCCUACACCAAAUCCCGUUAUUGCCAGAUGAUGUGCCUAAUGAUCAAAUUGCUUGGAACUCCUAAUAAUAAAACCUUAAAUCUAUCCAUUCACCAUCCAUCUGCUGUCCACCCACCCAUUCACCCAUUCAUCGACCCAUCUAUUAAUUCAUUAAUUGACCCACCUACUCAUCUAUCACUCAUCCACCCACUUCUCCAUCCACCCACCCAUCCAUCCACUUAUCCAACCAUCCAAGUACCAUUGGCCCGCCCACCCAUCCAUCCACUUAUCCAACCAUCCAACUACCAUUGGCCCGCCCACCCAUCCAUCCAUUUAUCCAACCAUCCAACUACCAUUGGCCCACCCACCCAUCCAUCCAUUUAUCCAACCAUCCAACUACCAUUGGCCCACCCACCCAUCCAUUUAUCCAACCAUCCAACUACCAUUGGCACCCACCCAUCCAUCCAUUUAUCCAACCAUCCAACUACCAUUGGCCCACCCACCCAUCCAUCCAUUUAUCCAACCAUCCAACUACCAUUGGCAUCCACCCAUCCAUCCAUUUAUCCAACCAUCCAACUACCAUUGGCCCA